Molecule: transfer RNA, 70 nt
Filed under: Cassena terminalis
Lineage: Eukaryota; Metazoa; Arthropoda; Insecta; Coleoptera; Chrysomelidae
Description: tRNA-Val
Source: RNAcentral
CAAAUUAGAGCUUGCUUUAAAGUAUUUUAGUUACAUUAAAAGGGAAAUUGUGAAAUUCAAUUUAAUUUGA